GUGGAGUUCAGCUUCACAGUUCUGAAAUUACCUCUUUGGAAAUACAUGUUACUUCAGAAGGUAAAGAUUAAGUGAGAGCUGUGGUGUUCCUUGGUCAUCAUGCCUACUGAGGAGGAGGAGAACUCUGGGCAACCUGUGUGGCAAUCCGUCCUGCUGUUUAGUUGUAAGGGAAUGAUCGAGGGAAUCAUUGUCCUCUUGUUUCUCUGGCUGCUGAUGCAGGUGCUCUUCACAAAACAGCAUGAAGUCCACUUGCAGAUUCUGCUGAGUGUGGGUUUGGUGGUCCUGUGUUUUUCCCUUAUCUUGGGCUGCAUCAUUUGUUGGUUAAAGACCAGACACAAACCACCCGAAGACAAAAACCCUCCUCCUGAUUCUGUGGAUCAUGUGACUGUGGCUUUGAGUCCUGCCCCUUUAUCUGGAACCACAUUUACCAAAUUGCAGUGUGAGGAGCUGGAAGGAUCCAUUCAAGACUAUCCAUCUGCUUUCGAGAGCUCUACACCAUCAGAUGAAGAGUUGACUGCUGUCUCUGAGGUUAACAAGUCAUGCUUCCAAAUGAGACGACUCAGUUCACCAUCAGUCUCCUCUUCUCUAUUCAAGCCCAUGGCCAGUGGCCGCUCCUCUCUCCCCUCUUUCCCAAGACUUGGUCUUCUCACAAAGACCCGGAAGGUUCUGGAACAUCACUGCACUGUGGCUGGAGAUAGUUACUCGUUUAGUGAACACAGAAGGCUCACUAUUCCCAACCCACGAUCACCCUGUGCCCUUUCUCCACUUCAAACCCAAGGUCUUCUACAGGACGAACCUUUAAUUCCUAACUAUGGUUCAAAUUCUUGCAGUGAGACCUCAGAUCCCUUCUUGCACUUUACCCUGACCUUCUCUUCAACACAGAACACACUCACUGUAUCAAUAGUGGGUAUAACCGGUGCAGUCCAUUGUCUAGAAGAAGUGACUGUCCAGGCCAAGCUGCCCCCACUUUGCCCUGGACCUCUGGAUAUAACUGCCCAGGAUUACAACCUAAGCUCUGGACUCUAUAAAAAGAACUUGGUGAUCAAUGUUGGAUCUCUAGAGGGGCUUAAGGGCUGCAUGCUCAGACUGGCUAUCUUCAUGCAGGACAAUCAAAAGACAUCCCUAUUUGAGGAGCUGGAAGUUUGCUGUGGUAGUCUGGACUGGACACCAGACAGGCCUGUAAGCUGCAUUAGAGAACUAAGGCAAGUCGUGGACAAGUCCAAGAAGGACACUUCAUAGCUCUUGCUACGAGACUAUACUGUCUUAAACACGAACCCAAACAUUUCAAAGACCUAC
RNAcentral lists this long non-coding RNA (1296 nucleotides) under Sinocyclocheilus grahami. RNAcentral describes it as "lncRNA (ENSSGRG00000015258.1)". Lineage: Eukaryota; Metazoa; Chordata; Actinopteri; Cypriniformes; Cyprinidae. The record is from RNAcentral.